This 253-nucleotide ribosomal RNA is filed under the name uncultured bacterium. Its description in RNAcentral is "partial 16S ribosomal RNA". It matches the Rfam family "Bacterial small subunit ribosomal RNA", at positions 524 to 776 of the family's 1533-position model. The record is from RNAcentral.
UACGUAGGUGGCAAGCGUUGUCCGGAUUUAUUGGGCUUAAAGGGUGCGUAGGCGGCCCGGUAAGUCAGUGGUGAAAUCUCCUUGCUUAACAAGGAAACUGCCAUUGAUACUGUCGGGCUUGAGUACAGUUGCUGUGGGCGGAAUAUGACACGUAGUGGUGAAAUACAUAGAGAUGUCAUAGAACACCGAUUGCGAAGGCAGCUCACAAAACUGUAACUGACGCUGAGGCACGAAAGUGCGGGGAUCAAACAGG